This 258-nucleotide ribosomal RNA is filed under the name uncultured bacterium. RNAcentral describes it as "partial 16S ribosomal RNA". It matches the Rfam family "Bacterial small subunit ribosomal RNA", at positions 332 to 588 of the family's 1533-position model. The record is from RNAcentral.
UGGUGCCUACGGGGCGCAGCAGUGAGGAAUAUUGGUCAAUGGCCGGGAGGCUGAACCAGCCAAGUCGCGUGAGGGAAGACGGCCCUACGGGUUGUAAACCUCUUUUGUCAGGGAGCAAGGUGCAGGUCGGGACCUGCUGUGAGAGUACCUGAAGAAAAAGCAUCGGCUAACUCCGUGCCAGCAGCCGCGGUAAUACGGAGGAUGCGAGCGUUAUCCGGAUUCAUUGGGUUUAAAGGGUGCGCAGGCGGGCCUUUAAGC